Molecule: non-coding RNA, 80 nt
Organism: Podarcis lilfordi (Lilford's wall lizard)
Lineage: Eukaryota; Metazoa; Chordata; Lepidosauria; Squamata; Lacertidae
Source: the annotation of a GenBank genome assembly
GGUGUCCAUUUUGUAGCUCAGUGGUAGACAGCAUCUGCUUUGAAUGUAGAAUGUCCCAGGUUCAACCACUGGCAUUUCUA